CACGUAGGGCGCAAGCGUUGUCCGGAAUUAUUGGGCGUAAAGAGCUCGUAGGCGGUCUGUUGCGUCCGCUGUGAAAACUCGGGGCUUAACCCCGAGCCUGCAGUGGAUACGGGCAGACUAGAGGUAGGUAGGGGAGAAUGGAAUUCCUGGUGUAGCGGUGAAAUGCGCAGAUAUCAGGAGGAACACCGGUGGCGAAGGCGGUUCUCUGGGCCUGUACUGACGCUGAGGAACGAAAGCGUGGGGAGCGAACAGG
This 253-nucleotide ribosomal RNA is filed under the name uncultured bacterium. Its description in RNAcentral is "partial 16S ribosomal RNA". It matches the Rfam family "Bacterial small subunit ribosomal RNA", at positions 524 to 776 of the family's 1533-position model. The record is from RNAcentral.